RNAcentral lists this transfer-messenger RNA (426 nucleotides) under Candidatus Omnitrophota. RNAcentral's name for it is "20-14-0-80-50-8 sp002779345 Standard tmRNA". It matches the Rfam family "transfer-messenger RNA". From Rfam's summary of the family: Bacterial tmRNA, also known as 10Sa RNA or SsrA, is named for its dual tRNA and mRNA-like properties. Its role is to liberate the mRNA from a stalled ribosome. The record is from RNAcentral. Lineage: Bacteria; Pseudomonadati. RNAcentral also lists the same sequence under 1 other name.
GGGGGCGACAGGAAUCGAUCUGGCCUUUGAUCUGAUAGUGGCAUGUGGAGGUUGCCGGGAGGCCUCCUUAAACACCUGGCAAAACAUAAACGCUAAAAACACGAACCUAGUGCAUGUGCCCUUCGCAGGGCCCAUGGCGUUCCCGCUAGCCGCCUAAUAACGGCUACCGUCCGCUCAUCCUCGUCUGCGGGAUGAGGUCGGGCGUCGACAGCAGGCUUCCGCCGCAAAGUGCGGCGGAUCCGCCAAGUGCUUUGGCGGAGGUCGUCUCGGCGUGUCCUCGGCCGAGCGAUAAGACGCGCAGAGGGCUUACUCUUUGAAAUUGUGUCCGCUCAACGUUCAAAGAGGAAUCUAAAAACGGACUAAGCAUGUAGAGGCUACGGACCUCAACGGUUAGAGACGCGAGUUCGAAUCUCGCCGCCUCCACUC